CUGACAUUUGGAAAAUGAAUGAAUUGUGCUUGCCAGGUGCUUGAGAACAACAUUUGGCAUGAAAUAGCUGGCAUGACAUGAGCUUGCAGGCAGUGUUUUAUUUCCUAUUCUUCUAGACCUUCCCAUUGUAUCAAGAGACUAAACAGGAACCCAUUUCAGAGGGCAUCAAAUAUUCCAAGGGGAUGGUUACAGAUGUAUUUGCAAUAUAUUAAUUUUAUUAAGAUAUUUUACUAGAGUAGGAUUGCAUUUGGGAUAAUAUCCCAGAUAAUAACAGCAGUGGAGACCUGAAAUGGAUCUGGAAUGCCUGCUGUGGAGACACUGGGAAAAUUCAAGGUUUGCAUCUUGCCAUGGAUAGAAGAAGCCAGGAAAACACAAACAGCAGGAAAAAACACAACAGAGACCUCACAAACAGCACGGGGCAAGGAGGAGGGGCAGAACCUGUGGCCAGACUGGGAGUAAAUACAGUGGCAACCAGUCAUCCCAUGGCAGGAGAAAGGGAAAGAAAGGAAGAAAAGCAACAGAACAGCGUGUUCCUUCUGGCCAAGAGGUUGGGGGACAAGGGGACAAGGAGGGAGAUGGAGCCCAGGCUGGAGUUGGUGGCUGCAGGAGCAUCCCAGGUGUGCCAGGGGAACCCCAGCACAGGAGGUCUCUGGCCUGGGGCCAGGACACACCAUGCAGCCCAGCCCUCUCCCCAGAUGUCAGCCAAAAUGACCACACAAACCAGGGACCCCUCAGUGCUCCAGGGAUCCUUGACUGCACUCUGCUUCCUCAGCGGCUCAGCAUUCUUACAGCUCUGC
This 797-nucleotide long non-coding RNA is filed under the name Zonotrichia albicollis (white-throated sparrow). Its description in RNAcentral is "lncRNA (ENSZALG00000008897.1)". Lineage: Eukaryota; Metazoa; Chordata; Aves; Passeriformes; Passerellidae. The record is from RNAcentral.